Molecule: long non-coding RNA, 716 nt
Organism: Hippopotamus amphibius kiboko
Lineage: Eukaryota; Metazoa; Chordata; Mammalia; Artiodactyla; Hippopotamidae
Exons: 3
Source: RefSeq, a predicted model, not a curated record
UCCCCCUAAUGUUCUUGAUCUCUAUGUGCAGUUUGGAAAUAUGCAGCCACAAAUUAUGAAUGUGGGCCUGAAGAAAUUAUGAGUCAGUGUGGUAGGCAGAAUAAUGUCUUCCCAAAGCAGUCCACAUCUAACCCCUGGGAUAUGUGACUAUAUUAUCCUGCAUGGCAGAAGGGACUUUGCAGCUAUGAUUCAGUCAGAAGAUGGGACCAUGGAAAAUGGUCAGAGAGAUGCAACACUGCUGGCUUUGAAGAUGAAGGAGGGGUCUAUGAGCCAAGGAAUGCAGGAGGCUUCCAGAAGCUGGAAAAGGAAAUAAAACCAUUCUCCUCUAGAGCCUCCAGAAGGAACGCAGCCCUGCCAACAUCUUGAUUUUAACCCAGCGAGACCCACGUCGGACUUGAGAGGCAUGGUAAACCAGAUGUGCUAUAGUUGCGGCUCUGCCUCUGUUUUCCACUCUUCUCUCAACUUUUCCUUCCUCCACAUGGAAAUGACCUCAGGAAGACGAUCCCCCGUGGUAGCAAGGUGGUGAUCAGCAGUGACUGGACAAUAAACUUUCUAGUUCACAUCCAUGGUUCCACAUCGUUCAAGCAGGUCGAGUUGGUUUCCUUUCUCUAUUACUUGCUGCCAAAAAUAUUCUACUAGCCACACGCAAGUCCCUCCUGCCUACUCUUUUCUUUCCUGGUACCUGACUGGCUCCUGCAGGCCAUUCCGUUCAUGAA